Long non-coding RNA from Cydia splendana, 387 nucleotides. RefSeq lists it as uncharacterized. The transcript is spliced from 4 exons. Lineage: Eukaryota; Metazoa; Arthropoda; Insecta; Lepidoptera; Tortricidae. The record is from RefSeq and is a predicted model, not a curated record.
GGUCAAUUGUUUAAAUAAAAAUAAGUUGUAUUGCUUGCAAAUACUAACAUGUAAUAUUUUUGUUACAUUAGGAAAUAGACAGACUCGUAGCAGACCAGGGAGGCGAAGUUCAAGUAAUAUCACGAUUAUCUGGAGCUGUGAAAAAAGGACCAACCACACUUAUUGGGAACAAAAAGGUACUAUUUUUACAUCUGGUAAAUGUAUCUUUCUUAAUCAUUAUAUUUUUAAUUAAUCUAUGGGAUGUUAAAAGUAGCGCGUAUCUUUCGAAUAUUAUAUACCUCUAUUUUAUUUUAAAUUGAUUAGUGAGAGCAGCCACAGCUACCAAAUCCAACAGUACCUACGUCUACGCCAAAAUGGUCUAAGAAGGACAUCUCUUACUAUUUAAUU